This 373-nucleotide ribosomal RNA is filed under the name uncultured bacterium. Its description in RNAcentral is "bacterial SSU rRNA". It matches the Rfam family "Bacterial small subunit ribosomal RNA", at positions 524 to 898 of the family's 1533-position model. The record is from RNAcentral.
UACGGAGGGUGCAAGCGUUAUCCGGAAUCACUGGGUUUAAAGGGUGCGUAGGCUGUUAGAUAAGUCAGUUGUGAAAUUCCCCGGCUUAACCGGGCGAACUGCGAUUGAUACUGUUUAACUUGAAUGAGGUUGAGGUAGGCGGAAUGUGGCAUGUAGCGGUGAAAUGCUUAGAUAUGCCAUAGAACACCGAUUGCGAAGGCAGCUUGCUGGGCCUUCAUUGACGCUGAGGCACGAAAGCGUGGGGAGCAAACAGGAUUAGAUACCCUGGUAGUCCACGCCCUAAACGAUGUUUACUUGCUGUUUGCCCUUCGGGGUGAGUGGCGAAGCGAAAGCGCUAAGUAAACCACCUGGGGAGUACGCCGGCAACGGUGAA